RNAcentral lists this ribosomal RNA (613 nucleotides) under Sphingomonas sp. 2.10. RNAcentral's name for it is "bacterial SSU rRNA". It matches the Rfam family "Bacterial small subunit ribosomal RNA", at positions 94 to 742 of the family's 1533-position model. The record is from RNAcentral. Lineage: Bacteria; Pseudomonadati; Pseudomonadota; Alphaproteobacteria; Sphingomonadales; Sphingomonadaceae.
AGUGGCGCACGGGUGCGUAACGCGUGGGAAUCUGCCCUUGGGUACGGAAUAACUCAGAGAAAUUUGUGCUAAUACCGUAUAAUGACUUCGGUCCAAAGAUUUAUCGCCCAAGGAUGAGCCCGCGUAAGAUUAGCUAGUUGGUGGGGUAAAAGCCUACCAAGGCGACGAUCUUUAGCUGGUCUGAGAGGAUGAUCAGCCACACUGGGACUGAGACACGGCCCAGACUCCUACGGGAGGCAGCAGUGGGGAAUAUUGGACAAUGGGCGAAAGCCUGAUCCAGCAAUGCCGCGUGAGUGAUGAAGGCCUUAGGGUUGUAAAGCUCUUUUACCCGGGAUGAUAAUGACAGUACCGGGAGAAUAAGCUCCGGCUAACUCCGUGCCAGCAGCCGCGGUAAUACGGAGGGAGCUAGCGUUGUUCGGAAUUACUGGGCGUAAAGCGCGCGUAGGCGGUUUUUUAAGUCAGAGGUGAAAGCCCAGUGCUCAACACUGGAACUGCCUUUGAAACUGGAAAACUUGAAUCUUGGAGAGGUCAGUGGAAUUCCGAGUGUAGAGGUGAAAUUCGUAGAUAUUCGGAAGAACACCAGUGGCGAAGGCGACUGACUGGACAAGUAUUG